UGGGGAAUAUUGGGCAAUGGAGGAAACUCUGACCCAGCGACGCCGCGUGCGGGAUGAAGGCCUUCGGGUUGUAAACCGCUUUCAGCAAGGAAGAAGCGAAAGUGACGGUACUUGCAGAAGAAGCACCGGCUAACUAUGUGCCAGCAGCCGCGGUAAUACAUAGGGUGCAAGCGUUGUCCGGAAUUACUGGGCGUAAAGCGUGCGCAGGCGGUUAUGUAAGACAGAUGUGAAAUCCCCGGGCUCAACCUGGGAACUGCAUUUGUGACUGUAUAGCUAGAGUACGGUAGAGGGGGAUGGAAUUCCUCGUGUAGCGGUGAAAUGCGUAGAGAUGAGGAGGAACACCAGUGGCGAAGGCGGCCACCUGGACAGUAACUGACGCUGAGGCGCGAAAGUGUGGGUAGCAAACAGG
Molecule: ribosomal RNA, 409 nt
Filed under: uncultured bacterium
Lineage: Bacteria
Description: bacterial SSU rRNA
Rfam family: Bacterial small subunit ribosomal RNA
Source: RNAcentral